UUUGAAUAAGGGCCAAUGAUGUUGACUAUUUAAAGUAAAAAUACAUAUCCUAAAGUUGCAUUCAGAAAACCUACUUGGACAGCAGCUCCAUUGCGUACUUAGUAAAUUUCUCCAAUUGCUGUAAAACAUGCAAGAAAAACGACAACUGUAUGCCAGAAACAGUAGUAGCAGCCACCAAUGUUGACCAUCAGAAGUGUGAGGCAGUAAUUUUUGUCGACUGAAACAGACACAGUUGCAAGAAAUCUGCAAUAUUACCACUCCGUUUUUGUUUUUUUUUCUGUUCUCUACUGUUUCAACUACUACUGUGGUGUUGAGGCCGCAUACUUUAAGGGAAGCGAACAAAGUAAAUUUGAUGAAGUUAUUCGGUAGAACCUGUCAUGGAUUGUAAAGUCUAUGCUAUUUUUAUGAGGGCAGUUUGUCGCUACACACUGCAAAUAUUGUAUUCUUCAAAAAAGUGAGUAUAUGCUGUGUGUAGUGACUUGGGCUGCUUUAGUAACAUUGAAUGCAUACUAACAAUAUUAAAUUUUCCUUUUAUUUCAUUAGCCCGAUGGAAGUCUUGUCCAAAGGUUAGUCUCACCGGUGGCAUCUUCUGGUGACAAGGCAACUCUAGAGACCCUCUUGCAGCAAGUGGCACCUCAGGUUCUUGUCGGUGAUGGAGCCAAACAUGUGGUCAUCACUCAUGGGAUCCAGGUUCCUCUGGACACACCGCUUCAGUGGAUGAGUGAACACCUCAGUUAUCCGGACAACUUUCUGCAUUUGUGUGUCAUGCCAUGCUCAUAGUGAUAGCUUCAAGUGUCCAUCAGUGAUAUUUCGCAAAUUUUACAUCUCGCUAGUCGAGGGCAGCUUGUCUUGUGGUUGCAGAAAGGGCUUGCAACGACUAUGAUAUAUCAAGCGCAAAUUGUUUGUAUGGUUACUUCAUACAUUCUGCUCGACUGUGCUGACGAUUUGCACCAGAAUGGUACUACUGUCAUAACGAUGAGUUGAGCUGUAAAAAAAAAGUGAUUCCUACUUGUCAAGGUGCAUGCUUUUCUUGUCCACAUUGUGCACUUUUUACAUUUUUAGAUGUCUGUUGACAUCUUUGACUGGUUGCUUAGAGCACUUCAGCAAUGCUACAAUGACUGUAUAAAGCAGCAACAUUUGGAGACUAAAGCAGCUCCGCUAUGCACAAUCAAGUUAGACUGUCACUGUCAGAGCGUGCAUAACCCUACAACACAACUCAAAUGCUAUCUUACUCAACAUUGUAGUGCUGCAGAAGCAUUUUGGAACCAGUUGAACAUGUUGUCAUGUUUGAUGAUGAUGCUUGUUGGACGUUAUUUCAUAGUCACGUUAAGCGAAUUACUGCACUGCCAUCAAGAAAAUUAGAUCUAACUGGAUCUUGUCAAAAUUUACAGUCAUGCUUGAUUGAAUGUGACUCCACUGUUGUGAGAUUUUGCGAAAAACAAGUCAUUCCCAAGUUUCUUUUUGUUCUUGUGCUGUAAAGCCUACUUAUUUUUACAGUGUCGCAUGGCCCCUGUCAAUGUGUGAUACAUUGCAUAAAGCUGUGGGCGGCAAUUUCACGAUUGCAUUAGUCUGUUACAGCACCAUUCAUAGACAGCACAACUUGCAUUUUUUAAAAAGUGGAAUCUGAAUAACGUUCCACCAAAAGCUCGAAAGCUGUGCUGCUACAGCCAAUAAUAAUAAGGUAUACACAACACAUUUUCAUUCAUCCAAUACCAGUCAUGCAUAGUUUUAAAAUGCUAUAAAAGUCUUGGCACCAAAAAUGUGUAUUCCAUAUGUAGUGGGUUCAGGAAUACACCAUUUACAAAGCUGAUUGUAAAAACCUUCAGUUACCAACUAGCAGCAAAGCUGUUGUAACCUUUUCCAAAUGUACCAGAACAUCCUGCAUAUAGUAAUCAAGUGCGAGUAUAAAAUGAAGAACAAUUUUGGGGCCACAAAAAAAAUAUAUUUAUUGGUACAUAACUAAAAACGCUUAGUCAACCCAUUCAGUAAAAAUUUGGUUAAAAUUUUAUACAUGAAUGUAAAACGAGAAGCAAAUUUUAUAAGCAGCUGCCAGAACAAAGCCCCAUAUUAAAUGCAUGGUUUCAUGGUACUUACUCGUGUGAGUUUGUCAGCCACUUCGUAUUCAUGGUAGUAAGCACACAGAUUGCUUUGUUCGAUGACAUGCUUGAUCUUCUACUACGAAUGAAAAAAGCUAUUUAGUAUGAACGAAUGUCAAUUUUAAAUAAUUUUAAACAGUGCGUGAUAGUUGAGAUACUUUGGUCAUAUGACCGCAUGGUUUUCAUAAUCUAUUUAAAAAUACAUAUUAACGAUGUUCUGUGUCAUCUAUACACAUAUUUCAAAUUUUGUGUGUUCAGUCUGAAGAUUGGAGUGCAGUGUUCGUAAGCUGUGUAUGUGUAUAGGAUUUUUCUUAAUUUAUUAACUGUCAUUUAUUUAGAUGAGAGAAGUUGUUCUUAGUGCAUGUGCUUCUAAAUUUAUAUUGUGGUUGUAAAAGUAAAAAAAGGCUUGUAUCCCGAUGCAAGCCAUAUGAUUUACAGAGCAUAUGAUGUGUUGCUAUUCCAUUGAUUUUGUCGCUAGAUUUAGCGACUUUUUUGUCAAUCCAGUGACAAAUUAUUUUAUUUAGCAACUUUAUUUAGCAGUGUUAGUAGCAAUAUAGCUUGUUCUUUACCGGUUUCUCAGAAUGUUUCGUUGAAAUUAACGGCUCAUUUUCAAAAAUAAAAUUCGUGAACUGAUAAAAACUUA
Molecule: non-coding RNA, 2739 nt
Organism: Dermacentor albipictus
Lineage: Eukaryota; Metazoa; Arthropoda; Arachnida; Ixodida; Ixodidae
Source: RefSeq, a predicted model, not a curated record